CAAAAACAUGUCUUUUUGAGUUAAUUUUAAAGUCUAACCUGCCCAAUGAAUAAAAUUUUAAUGGCCGCAGUAUUUUGACUGUGCAAAGGUAGCAUAAUCAUUAGUCUUUUAAUUGAAGGCUUGAAUGAAUGGUUGGACGAAGUAUAAUCUGUUUCAUUUAAAUUUAUAAUAGAAUUUUAUAUUUUAGUAAAAAAGCUAAAAUAUUUUUAAAAGACGAGAAGACCCUAUAAAUCUUUAUAAUUUAUAUUAUUUUUAUUUUUUUGAUUUAUUUUAUUUAAAUAAUUUAAAUUAUUUUGUUGGGGUGAUGUCAAAAUUUAAUAAACUUUUGAUUUUUAAUUUCAUUAAUUUAUGUUUUAUUGAUCCAUUAAUAAUGAUUAAAAGAAUAAGUUACUUUAGGGAUAACAGCGUAAUUUUUUUGGAGAGUUCUUAUUGAUAAAAAAGUUUGCGACCUCGAUGUUGGAUUAAGAUAUAAUUUUAGGUGUAGUUGCUUAAAUAAUAAGUCUGUUCGACUUUUAAAUUCUUACAUGAUCUGAGUUAAAACCGGA
Molecule: ribosomal RNA, 545 nt
Filed under: Trupanea jonesi
Lineage: Eukaryota; Metazoa; Arthropoda; Insecta; Diptera; Tephritidae
Description: partial large subunit ribosomal RNA
Rfam family: Bacterial large subunit ribosomal RNA (bases 398-545)
Source: RNAcentral